GGAUAAUAUUUUGAACCGCAUGGUUCAAAAGUGAAAGACGGUCUUGCUGUCACUUAUAGAUGGAUCCGCGCUGCAUUAGCUAGUUGGUAAGGUAACGGCUUACCAAGGCAACGAUGCAUAGCCGACCUGAGAGGGUGAUCGGCCACACUGGAACUGAGACACGGUCCAGACUCCUACGGGAGGCAGCAGUAGGGAAUCUUCCGCAAUGGGCGAAAGCCUGACGGAGCAACGCCGCGUGAGUGAUGAAGGUCUUCGGAUCGUAAAACUCUGUUAUUAGGGAAGAACAUAUGUGUAAGUAACUGUGCACAUCUUGACGGUACCUAAUCAGAAAGCCACGGCUAACUACGUGCCAGCAGCCGCGGUAAUACGUAGGUGGCAAGCGUUAUCCGGAAUUAUUGGGCGUAAAGCGCGCGUAGGCGGUUUUUUAAGUCUGAUGUGAAAGCCCACGGCUCAACCGUGGAGGGUCAUUGGAAACUGGAAAACUUGAGUGCAGAAGAGGAAAGUGGAAUUCCAUGUGUAGCGGUGAAAUGCGCAGAGAUAUGGAGGAACACCAGUGGCGAAGGCGACUUUCUGGUCUGUAACUGACGCUGAUGUGCGAAAGCGUGGGGAUCAAACAGGAUUAGAUACCCUGGUAGUCCACGCCGUAAACGAUGAGUGCUAAGUGUUAGGGGGUUUCCGCCCCUUAGUGCUGCAGCUAACGCAUUAAGCACUCCGCCUGGGGAGUACGACCGCAAGGUUGAAACUCAAAGGAAUUGACGGGGACCCGCACAAGCGGUGGAGCAUGUGGUUUAAUUCGAAGCAACGCGAAGAACCUUACCAAAUCUUGACAUCCUUUGACAACUCUAGAGAUAGAGCUUUCCCCUUCGGGGGACAAAGUGACAGGUGGUGCAUGGUUGUCGUCAGCUCGUGUCGUGAGAUGUUGGGUUAAGUCCCGCAACGAGCGCAACCCUUAAGCUUAGUUGCCAUCAUUAAGUUGGGCACUCUAAGUUGACUGCCGGUGACAAACCGGAGGAAGGUGGGGAUGACGUCAAAUCAUCAUGCCCCUUAUGAUUUGGGCUACACACGUGCUACAAUGGACAAUACAAAGGGCAGCGAAACCGUGAGGUCAAGCAAAUCCCAUAAAGUUGUUCUCAGUUCGGAUUGUAGUCUGCAACUCGACUACAUGAAGCUGGAAUCGCUAGUAAUCGUAGAUCAGCAUGCUACGGUGAAUACGUUCCCGGGUCUUGUACACACCGUCCGUCACACCACGAGAGUUUGUAACACCCGAAGCCGGUGGAGUAACCUUUUAGGAGCUAGCCGUCGAAGGUGGGACAAAUGAUUGGGGUGAAGUCGUAACAAGGUAGCCGUAUCGGAAGGUGCGGCUGGAUCACCUCCUUU
This 1377-nucleotide ribosomal RNA is filed under the name Staphylococcus aureus. Its description in RNAcentral is "bacterial SSU rRNA". It matches the Rfam family "Bacterial small subunit ribosomal RNA", at positions 171 to 1533 of the family's 1533-position model. Lineage: Bacteria; Bacillati; Bacillota; Bacilli; Caryophanales; Staphylococcaceae. The record is from RNAcentral.